AUUGAACGCUGGCGGCAGGCCUAACACAUGCAAGUCGAGCGGAUGAAGGGAGCUUGCUCCUGGAUUCAGCGGCGGACGGGUGAGUAAUGCCUAGGAAUCUGCCUGGUAGUGGGGGAUAACGUCCGGAAACGGGCGCUAAUACCGCAUACGUCCUGAGGGAGAAAGUGGGGGAUCUUCGGACCUCACGCUAUCAGAUGAGCCUAGGUCGGAUUAGCUAGUUGGGGGGGUAAAGGCCUACCAAGGCGACGAUCCGUAACUGGUCUGAGAGGAUGAUCAGUCACACUGGACCUGAGACACGGUCCAGACUCCUACGGGAGGCACCCGUGGCGAAUAUUUGACCAUGGGCGAAAGCCUGAUCCAGCCAUGCCGCGUGUGUGAAGAAGGUCUUCGGAUUGUAAAGCACUUUAAGUUGGGAGGAAGGGCAGUAAGUUAAUACCUUGCUGUUUUGACGUUACCAACAGAAUAAGCCCCGGCUAACUUCGUG
RNAcentral lists this ribosomal RNA (484 nucleotides) under uncultured bacterium. Its description in RNAcentral is "partial 16S ribosomal RNA". It matches the Rfam family "Bacterial small subunit ribosomal RNA", at positions 30 to 507 of the family's 1533-position model. The record is from RNAcentral.